GUGAACGCUGGCGGUAGGCCUAACACAUGCAAGUCGAACGGCAGCACGGUAAGAGCUUGCUCUUAUGGGUGGCGAGUGGCGGACGGGUGAGGAAUACAUCGGAAUCUACCUUUUCGUGGGGGAUAACGUAGGGAAACUUACGCUAAUACCGCAUACGACCUUCGGGUGAAAGCAGGGGACCUUCGGGCCUUGCGCGGAUAGAUGAGCCGAUGUCGGAUUAGCUAGUUGGCGGGGUAAAGGCCCACCAAGGCGACGAUCCGUAGCUG
RNAcentral lists this ribosomal RNA (266 nucleotides) under Stenotrophomonas sp. ISO108_OTU2931. RNAcentral describes it as "partial 16S ribosomal RNA". It matches the Rfam family "Bacterial small subunit ribosomal RNA", at positions 29 to 289 of the family's 1533-position model. The record is from RNAcentral. Lineage: Bacteria; Pseudomonadati; Pseudomonadota; Gammaproteobacteria; Lysobacterales; Lysobacteraceae. RNAcentral also lists the same sequence under 3 other names.